This 296-nucleotide ribosomal RNA is filed under the name Klebsiella pneumoniae. RNAcentral describes it as "partial 23S ribosomal RNA". It matches the Rfam family "Bacterial large subunit ribosomal RNA", at positions 14 to 314 of the family's 2925-position model. Lineage: Bacteria; Pseudomonadati; Pseudomonadota; Gammaproteobacteria; Enterobacterales; Enterobacteriaceae. The record is from RNAcentral.
AGCGUACACGGUGGAUGCCCUGGCAGUCAGAGGCGAUGAAGGACGUGCUAAUCUGCGAAAAGCGUCGGUAAGGUGAUAUGAACCGUUAUAACCGGCGAUGUCCGAAUGGGGAAACCCAGUGUGAUUCGUCACACUAUCGUUAACUGAAUACAUAGGUUAACGAGGCGAACCGGGGGAACUGAAACAUCUAAGUACCCCGAGGAAAAGAAAUCAACCGAGAUUCCCCCAGUAGCGGCGAGCGAACGGGGAGCAGCCCAGAGUCUGAAUCAGCUUGUGUGUUAGUGGAACGGUCUGGA